CUACGGGACGCUCCAGUGGGGAAUAUUGCACAAUGGAGGAAACUCUGAUGCAGCAACGCCGCGUGGAGGAUGACACUUUUCGGAGCGUAAACUCCUUUUAUAUAGGAAGAAGAUGACGGUACUAUAUGAAUAAGCGCCGGCUAACUCCGUGCCAGCAGCCGCGGUAAUACGGAGGGCGCAAGCGUUACUCGGAAUCACUGGGCGUAAAGAGCGUGUAGGCGGAUUAAAAAGUCAGAAGUGAAAUCCUAUAGCUUAACUAUAGAACUGCUUCUGAAACUCUUAAUCUAGAAUAUGGGAGAGGUAGAUGGAAUUUCUGGUGUAGGGGUAAAAUCCGUAGAGAUCAGAAGGAAUACCGAUUGCGAAGGCGAUCUACUAGAACAUUAUUGACGCUAAGGCGUGAAAGCGUGGGGAGCAAACAGGAUUAGAUACCCCAGUAGUC
This 439-nucleotide ribosomal RNA is filed under the name uncultured bacterium. RNAcentral's name for it is "partial 16S ribosomal RNA". It matches the Rfam family "Bacterial small subunit ribosomal RNA", at positions 339 to 795 of the family's 1533-position model. The record is from RNAcentral.